CCAUGGUGAAGUGGUUAUCACAUCCGCUUUAUGAGCGGGAGGUCCCAGGUUUGAAACCUUGUAUAUUCUA
Nephila pilipes (giant wood spider) is the source of this 70-nucleotide non-coding RNA. Lineage: Eukaryota; Metazoa; Arthropoda; Arachnida; Araneae; Nephilidae. The record is from the annotation of a GenBank genome assembly.